Long non-coding RNA from Pseudophryne corroboree (corroboree frog), 307 nucleotides. RefSeq lists it as uncharacterized. Lineage: Eukaryota; Metazoa; Chordata; Amphibia; Anura; Myobatrachidae. The record is from RefSeq and is a predicted model, not a curated record. The transcript has 3 exons.
AGAUCUCCUGUCACUGAACUUUACUGCCUCCCAUUACGGUGAAGAUGGCGCCCUGGUGACUGAAUCCACAGGACAUCUGGCUCACUGCUGUUACACGGGGACGGUGGAUGACGUGACGGAAUCGGCGGUCUCUGUGUGCACCUGUCACGGACUCAGUGGUCAUAUAUCUAUCGCGGAUGAAACCUACAGCAUUGACCCCAUUUCCCACCCUGGGUCACAGCCGUACUAUGUGAUAACCGGCAUUGGUAAAGGACACCCGGCGCCAGGCUCACACUACCAGCAACGCCGCUCCCUCAGCUUCACCGGC